RNAcentral lists this ribosomal RNA (729 nucleotides) under Microbacterium sp. RNAcentral describes it as "bacterial SSU rRNA". It matches the Rfam family "Bacterial small subunit ribosomal RNA", at positions 122 to 861 of the family's 1533-position model. Lineage: Bacteria; Bacillati; Actinomycetota; Actinomycetes; Micrococcales; Microbacteriaceae. The record is from RNAcentral.
CAACCUCGCCCCUGACUCUGGGAUAAGCGCUGGAAACGGCGUCUAAUACUGGAUAUGUCCCGUCACCGCAUGGUGUGCGGGUGGAAAGAUUUUUCGGUUGGGGAUGGGCUCGCGGCCUAUCAGCUUGUUGGUGAGGUAAUGGCUCACCAAGGCGUCGACGGGUAGCCGGCCUGAGAGGGUGACCGGCCACACUGGGACUGAGACACGGCCCAGACUCCUACGGGAGGCAGCAGUGGGGAAUAUUGCACAAUGGGCGGAAGCCUGAUGCAGCAACGCCGCGUGAGGGAUGACGGCCUUCGGGUUGUAAACCUCUUUUAGCAGGGAAGAAGCGAAAGUGACGGUACCUGCAGAAAAAGCACCGGCUAACUACGUGCCAGCAGCCGCGGUAAUACGUAGGGUGCAAGCGUUAUCCGGAAUUAUUGGGCGUAAAGAGCUCGUAGGCGGUCUGUCGCGUCUGCUGUGAAAUUCCGAGGCUCAACCUCGGGCUUGCAGUGGGUACGGGCAGACUAGAGUGCGGUAGGGGAGAUUGGAAUUCCUGGUGUAGCGGUGGAAUGCGCAGAUAUCAGGAGGAACACCGAUGGCGAAGGCAGAUCUCUGGGCCGUAACUGACGCUGAGGAGCGAAAGGGUGGGGAGCAAACAGGCUUAGAUACCCUGGUAGUCCACCCCGUAAACGUUGGGAACUAGUUGUGGGGUCCUUUCCACGGAUUCCGUGACGCAGCUAACGCAUU